Molecule: transfer RNA, 84 nt
Filed under: Geotrichum candidum
Lineage: Eukaryota; Fungi; Ascomycota; Dipodascomycetes; Dipodascales; Dipodascaceae
Rfam family: tRNA
About the family: Transfer RNA (tRNA) molecules are approximately 80 nucleotides in length. Their secondary structure includes four short double-helical elements and three loops (D, anti-codon, and T loops).
Source: Rfam by way of RNAcentral
GCUUCGUUAGCUCAGUCGGUAGAGCGUCAGUCUCAUAUUACAAUUGUAAUCUGAAGGUCGAGAGUUCGAGCCUCCCACGGAGCA